RNAcentral lists this ribosomal RNA (468 nucleotides) under uncultured bacterium. RNAcentral's name for it is "partial 16S ribosomal RNA". It matches the Rfam family "Bacterial small subunit ribosomal RNA", at positions 28 to 507 of the family's 1533-position model. The record is from RNAcentral.
GACGAACGCUGGCGGCGUGCUUAACACAUGCAAGUCGAACGGAAAGGCCCUGCUUUUGUGGGGUGCUCGAGUGGCGAACGGGUGAGUAACACGUGAGUAACAUGCCCUUGACUUUGGGAUAACUUCAGGAAACUGGGGCUAAUACCGGAUAGGAGCUCCUGCUGCAUGGUGGGGGUUGGAAAGUUUCGGCGGUUGGGGAUGGACUCGCGGCUUAUCAGCUUGUUGGUGGGGUAGUGGCUUACCAAGGCUUUGACGGGUAGCCGGCCUGGGAGGGUGACCGGCCACAUUGGGACUGAGAUACGGCCCAGACUCCUACGGGAGGCAGCAGUGGGGAAUAUUGCACAAUGGGCGGAAGCCUGAUGCAGCAACGCCGCGUGCGGGAUGACGGCCUUCGGGUUGUAAACCUCUUUCGCCUGUGACGAAGCGUGAGUGACGGUAAUGGGUAAAGAAGCACCGGCUAACUACGUG